GAUCCGGCUGGAUCCCUGUCACGCCCAAUAUGCGACCCUAUCCAAAAGGAACUCGAAGGUCCCACCAAGGAUAGACCCGCAUAUUGAAACGCUUUUGCAAGGUGGAUAUCAUUACAUCAACAUUACAUAAUAGAUGGAGAUACAUACAUAAGGCAUACAAUGCCACAUGAAUACAACAUCACAAUACAUCAGAGCAUCAUCCGACUACGGAUGAAACACAAACAGAAACUCAGACGACAUCCACCCUGCUAGCCCAGGCUGCCGACCUGGAACCUAUCCCCUGAUCGAAGAAGAAGCAGAAGAAGAACUCCAAGACAAGCAAACAUCGCUCUCGCGUCAUGAUCAUUGCAUAACCUGUUCCUGCAACUGUUGUUGUAGUAAACUGUGAGCCACGAGGACUCAGCAAUCCCAUUACCAUGGGUAUCAAGACUAGCAAAGCUUAAAGGGAAAGGAAGGGGUAAAGUGGUGAGGCUGCAGCAGUGACUAAGCAUAUAUUGUGGCUAAACAUACGCAAAUAAGAGCGAGAAGAGAACAAGCAGAACGGUCGUGAAACUAGCAAUGAUCAAGAAGUGAUCCUGAACUCCUACUUACGUCAAACAUAACACAGAAACCGUGUUCACUUCCCGGACUCCGCCGAGAAGAGACCAUCACGGCUACACACGUGGUUGAUGCGUUUUAAUUCGGAUUAGGUGUCAAGUUGUCUACAACCGGACAUUAACAAAUUCCCAUCUGCCUAUAACCGCAGGCACGGCUGUCAAAAGAUUAUACCCUGCAGGGGUGUCCCAACUUAGCCCAUGACAAGCUCUCGCGAUCAACGAAGGAAUAGACCUUCUCCCAGGAAGACCCGAUCAGACUCGGAAUCCCGGUUUACAAGACAUUUCGACAAUGGUAAAACAAGACCAGCAAGACCGCCCGAUGCGCCGACAUCCCGAUAGGAGCUACACAUAUCUCGUUCUCAGGGAAACACCGGAUGAGCAGUCCGUACAACUAAAACCAGACCUCAAGUUUCCCUGAGGUGGCGCUGCAAAGGGCUCUAGUUCGGACCAACACUUAGACAAGCACUGGCCCGGGGGGGCUGUAAUAAAGAUGACCCUUGGGUUAAUUACUCCCAAGGGAAAUAUAGGUGGUGGUGAGGCAAAUGGUAAAACCAACGUUGGGCCUUGCUGGAGGAGUUUUAUUCAAAGCGAACUGUCAAGGGGGUCCCAUAAAUCACCCGACCGCGUAAGGAACGCAAAAUCCGGGAACAUAACACCGGUAUGACGGAAACUAGGGCGGCAAGAGUGGAACAAAACACUAGGCAAAAGGCCGAGCCUUCCACCCUUUACCAAAUAUAUAGAUGCAUUAAUAAUAAUAUAAGAGAUAUUGUGAUAUCCCAACCAAAAUCCUGUCCACCAUGGAGAAAUCUUCAACUUCACCUACAACUAGCAACGCUAUAAGAGGGCUGAGCAAGCGGUAACAUAGCCAAUCAAUGGUUUGCAUAGGAAAGGUGUCAAAGGUUAGAGGUUCAUGGCAAUUUGGGAUCGCUUGAUAAACAGGUAAUAGGUAGCGCAGCAAAGCGAUAGAACGAAGCAACUAGCAUGGCAAUGGUAGUAGUGAGAUCCAGGGUAGCGGUCAUCUUGCCUGAAAUCCUGCAAGGAAGAAGAACGAGUCCAUGAAGAAGACAAACGGGAGCAGUCGAAUGAAUCCUCACGAACGCAACGUUACCGGAACUAAGAAGCAACACCAGAAAGAAACAAACAACAUGGUAAAUACACAAGCAUAAUCAUGGCAUGAUGCACAAUCAAGUAUGAUGCAUGUCCGGUUUAAAGAGCAUGGCAUGACAAAGUGCAACAAACGAUACUACAAGUUAAGUGGAGCUCAAUAUGCAACGAGUUGCAUAUUGACAAAACACCACAUCGAUUAUUUAGUUCUCUCUCGGUUUUGCUAUCAAACAAUAUUAAAUGUUAUUAGCAUGGCAAGGGGGUGAAACAUAAUGAAACUACCUAUCUAGGCAAGUUUAAAUGAGGCCGGAAACAACAAACAACAUGUCCGGAAAAAUCCCCAUAUGCAUAUUUUAGAUUCAGUACUGUUCUGCCCUAAACACAAUUUUAAGUUUGUUAAACAGGAAAAUAAAGUGGACCAUGUUAAUCUAGGCAUUUUUCCACCCCAUUUACAUAUAAAGUUUAUUAAAUUCGGAGCUACGGUUAUUAAGUUAUGAAUUAAAGCAUUUUAGCAUGGCAUUUAUACAAAAUUAAAUAAACAGCAAGUUUAAACAUUUUUAACAUAGAUGAAAGUGGCAUAUUAUUAAUCUACACAAUUUUCUGAGCAUUUUACAUAUUUAAAACAUUUUAAUCCGAUGCACAGUUUGAGAGAUAUUAUAUGCAUGAAGCUUAGGGGGUUUUCUGCAAAUCUGAAAAUCCUGGAAUAAUUAGACAAAUUCGCAGGCAGGAAAAAAAAUGCUAUCGGGCCGAAACUGCCGGCUAGCCCAACAGGAGAGAAAAAAAAGGAGGGGCGAUCUGGAGGGGUUGCUCACCCAUGGGCCUUAGCAGGCCGGCUGGAGGGGAGGAGGCUGGGCAGGCCGCGAAGGGGCGCGCUGGGUCUGGGCGAUCUGGCGCUGGGCCGCCCGGUCGCUGGCGCUCCAGACGAAGAGGGCCGUGGUCAACGCUCGAAGCAGAGGCAGGGGCGUCCUCCUCCUGCUCGAUGCAGAAACAGAGGAAGAAGGCGCGGCGGCGCAGGAACUUGGCGGAUGGAGGCGAGCGGCGCUGGGCGUCAGGAGGUGCGGGGAAGGCCGGGAUGGGAAGGAGCCGGCGGAUCCGAGGCGAAGGUCACCGGAUUCAGCAAGGAACGGCGAGCUUCGACUUGCGGGCGCCAUGGCUGACGAGAGAAGUUCCUGCGAGAGAGAGAGAGGGAUGCGAGAUCAGGAGAAAGAAGGAAGAGAAGGAGGGACCGAGGGAGAGGGCGCGGGGUCGGCCUGGGAGUGGCGGAGGGCAUCGGCGGCGGUGGAGGCGAUGAGGGCUCGGGGUCGAGGGAUCCUCCCCUCAAUCCAGAACGGGAGCGGGAGGCACUGGGCGCUCGGGCCCAGAUCGGGGCCCGGGCGGGCCUAGGACGGGCGUGCGGCGGCGGGAGGCUGCUGGGGAAGGCGGGGGCGACGUGGCGGCCUUUGAGUGGGCACGAGCGGCGCUGAGUGGCGGCGCUGGGUGGUGGCUGGCGGCGGGGGCAGCGCCAAGUGGCGGGCAGGAGGUGGCCAGGCACGGAAAAUGAGGCGCCGGCAGUUGGGAGGUUAGGGGAGGAAGCUAGGGAUAGGUUUAGCCCAAAAUGGCAAGGGGAGGGGUUUAUAUUGCAGUUUUUGGCUAGGGUUUGGUCUAGGGGGGUUUCUGCUCCGUUUUCGGACAUCGGAUCUCGAUCCAACGGUCCGGAGCGGAGGGGGUUAGAUAGGUGGGCUAGUGGGCUGUGACGAGAGGGUCUGGACUGAGGGGAGAGAAGAGAAAAAGAGGCCCGGCGGCAGUUUCGGAGACCGAAACGUCCGACGAAUAAACCGACUAUAUCGCGGUUACAUAUUUAACGGUUGGGCUGUCAAACGAACUCCGAAUGCGACGAAACUUGGCAGGCGGUCUGUCUACACUAUCAUAAGACCGCACGACAAGUUGCACCCAUUCCGAGAACAUUUUUAUGCCACUAACAAAAUAAUAUUUCGGAGGUGCCGCGGGCGCGUGCGAGUGUGGUCGGGCUCAGAACGGACAACGGAGAGAACCGGCGGAACACGAACGGAUGCAAGUUUUGAAAAACAUGCGGAUGAAAUGCAGAUGAUGACAUGAGAUGAGAUGCAUAACAAGAACAAAAUGCAAAACAACAGACAAAAACCCAACCACGGAGGAAAUAAUAAAUCACAUCUCCGGAAAAGGCAAGAGUCGGAGUUACGAAUAUGGAAAGUUGUAUCCGGGGCGUUACAACACUCCACCACUACGAGAGGAUCUCGUCCCGAGAUCUAGGAUGGCACCGGAGGGAAAAGGAAGAGGAAGAUAAGCGGUAAAACUAAGUUGCUUCUUUGACGAAUGAGUGAAACCAUGAACCUUGAGAGGUUGAGAAAUAUGAAAGAAAGAAAACAACGAAGAUGAACAAGAUUGCAAACAAUAUGUUAGAAAAGAGGAACAAGGAACAUUACGAGAACUUGAAGGUUGCAAAGACAUGAAUGACGAGCACAAUGGACAAGAAGGAAUUGAAACCACUCUGGUUGAAACGAGAUAAGAAAGAAUAAGAAUGAUAUAAUUUUGACAGCACUCCGACUGUAAAUGGAAGGAAUUGAACAUGAACUUGAGAAGAUGGGAUGAUACUUGAUGAAAUCAACAACACACUGCCUCCGGAACUAUUGAAAAAAUGGCACAAGGGGUAAGAAGGAUUUCAGACAGCACUCCGGUUGAGAAGGGGGGCAAAACUUGAUAAGAUGAAAGAACUUGAAUGAGAAUACAACACUCCAGUUAAAUGGAUAAGCAUGAAAAGAACACGAUCCUCAAUUCGAGAAGAUGAGUGAAGAGAGCAACAUUACAAUGCCUCCGGAAGAAAGAAUAGAAGAUAGAUCAUUGGAAUAAUAGAUGGAGGAGAAAAUGCCAACUUGUGCCACAAAUGAACUUGGAAAGCAAACUUGCAAAGAAGGAUUGAACGGAGUUGUUGGAAAAUCAACAACGAAAAGAAUAGGCUUGUAGUGGGCUUAUGGAAACAUCUCAACAUUAUGAGGUGACAACCGACCACUAAAGGAAACAAUUGCUUGUUUGAGAUCAACGAAGAGAUGAAAACCUCUUUCACCGAGAAGGAUAUGGAGAAAGCUUGGAUCAAUGAUAAGCACCACAAAUAGCAACAUUCCCAAUGGAAGGCUUUAGGUGAAAUCUAUACCAGGAUAACUCCAAAGAAGAAGUUGAUUGGACUUAAAAUACCUCAUUCUUGACAACAAUAUGAAUCAUGAAACAUGAAGGAAAUUGUCAAGAGUGACAUAACACCACCACAAAAGAUAAGGUAGAAAGAAUUGCACUUCAGAAUGCAAGAUGAAGAAUGCUUGAACGCCUCAAAACAAAACAUGUGUUGAGCACCAUGUUUAUUUUAGAGUAAAGCUUGGCGGAUCUUAACUUCGAGAGAAAUCUUGAAGAACAAAAUGAGAAUGAAAGAAAUCCUUGAUGAACCAUCAUGUAGAGCCUCCAUGAAGAACUCCGGUAAUGAAAGGAUGAUAGAAAGAAAGAGAAGUUGAAAGAACAAGGUGAGCCUUGUGAUGAUUUAGAUGGAGCUUUGCGAUGAUAUAACCGAGAAAACUUGGAACUCCGGAAACGAAAAGAUGAAACAUCUCGAACCGAGAAUUACUUCAUCAUGAACAAUCUCUGGAAGAAAAGAAUUGAAUCACCUCGAGGAAAUAAGAAUAAGAUUUAUUGUAUGCUUAUCCUUCAUCAAAUUAAAUUGACGACAAGCAAUGGAUUUGGCAUACUACUUAUUCUCGUAUAAAGAAUUAAGAUAGAUAUGGCGCAAACUUGGGAAGGUAUUGAUGGAACCACCGGUUGGAUUUGUUAACAAUGAAUGAAUUGAUAUGAUAACGAAGGAAGAGAAAUCUUGAAGGAACCACCGUAAGAAUUUAAAAUGAAAGUAACAAAGGCACAAUUCACCGGGAAGAAUUGGAAAACGAAUGAAGAUACUUGAAGGGAUUUAGAUACAUGAGAAAGAAGAGAACAUGAACUGAUUAGAGGAUACUUGAACAAUUCACCGGUAAGAUUUGGAUAACGAGAGCUGAAGGUUGAGAAUGAGGAAUUAUGACAUGAUGGCCUUCGGAGGAAAGAAAUGGAAACAACUCAUGAAAUGCUCCGGAUGGGUGAAAAGAAUUCUCACAAUCAAAAACAAUUAUGAGAGGAUGGCAUCAAGCUAGAACCAUGAAUCUUCGGAAGAACGGACAAGAUUUAGAGGAAAAACUCUUCCUCGGUCUUCACAUGUUGAGAAUGAUGAUGAGAACCGCCACCAAAAUUACUGAGAUACUUCGGUAGAAUGGAAAGCGAAGGGGUUGAGCCGAUCAAUGAAAUGAUUUGAAAUCGAUCUUGGAAAAGCAUCUGACUGAUGAAAUUCAUUCUUACGUCAACUUGAAAAUAAUUUGGGAAUAGCUCCAGAAUAAUUAGAAGAGUCAGGUAAGAUCCUGGGAAAAGACCUGUGGGUUAGGGCCCAUUCAAAAGGAAACACCGUUGAACGAUUUUAAAGAGAGAUUGCACCGUUAGAAUUAAAUAGCUUGAAUGAUAUAAUAAUCUCCAAAAUAACUUGAACGGAUUGAGAAUGGAAACACAAGUCUUCUGAGAUAUCUUGAGCACUCCGGAUAAGAAUAGAGAGAGGUGAACAAUUAAGAGGUGCACCAUGUGGAAAAACAUUUGAAACGAGGAAAGGGAUAUGAUCAACACCGAAAGCUUGAAUUAACACCACCGGAGAGGAAUACGAGAAUGAAGAUUGAUGAACUUGAAGCUCAUGAGCAUCUUCACGAGGGAUCACCGGAUGAAAACAUUGAUUGAAAAGAGUGAAGAGACUUCACAUGAAUAAAUGGAUACUUGAUUAACAUAUAUGAGUCCUUGAAGAAAAGGGUGGGAGGGUGGGGAAAUCAAAGACAACUUGGGAUGGAUGAAACAAACACCGUUGAGAAAACUUAGAAUUGAUCUUGCGGAUGGGGAGAAUGAUGGGAUCAUCUCGAAGAGAAGCGCACCGGUUGGAAAAGAAUUAACAUGACAACCUCAAUGAUCAAAAGGAUUAGUAUUCACAUAGGAAUAUGAGAACACAGUUUAUGAAAGGUAUGGAUUCAACAUUUGACAAUGAAGCAACUCGAAUACCACAACUCAAAACAAAACAAAGGAUUUGGCUUGCAGAAUAAGCCGAAACAAACAUAUGAUAGACCCCAUAUCGUAUCAAGUGUCUGUUGGAAAGAUAAAACUAGAGCUACUUGAAUUCCCACCUAUAAACUCCCGAAACUUUCUGGUUAUGCAAUCUGGUGUUGGGGAUACAGGGGAAGCAAUAUAUCUCACCCAAACUAACAAUCCCUACAUCCAGCUGUAUCCAUCCGUCAACACAUAACCAAGAAACCUUCGGAAAUCGUGUACCUCAACCUUCGAAAAGCAUUCGUUAUAUGAGUUAUGGCAAUACUGCCGAACUCCCCAGUACUGGGUGACGUCGAGGUUAUCUCACCAACAACUGCAUAAAAGAGAUUUUUGAUGUCGGCAAAACUUAGGUAUUCCAGAACUGCAACAAUAAAAUUAUGACGACAACACCUUGGAGCUCAACUCCCCGGGUCAAAGCCACAUAAAUAGACAGGAGGCACCAAGAACAAUGUUCUUGUCACAAAACCAUCGGAACGAUUCCGAGAUACCCGCGUGAUCCUAAAAAUUUUUUAGUCAAAUUUGAGGAGAGGAAAGUCAAAACAUCUACCUCAAGAGUCCUCACCAGAGCGACGAAGGGGCUGAGGAGUAAAAAGAAUCCUACUCUCUAAUAUAUAUAAUCCUAAGACUCAAAAUAGUUUUCUUCUAGACUCAACAACGGCCAACAAUCAAGGGGGCUCCUAAGGUCGGUCGAGGCUCUGAUACCAACUUGUCACGCCCAAUAUGCGACCCUAUCCAAAAGGAACUCGAAGGUCCCACCAAGGAUAGACCCGCAUAUUGAAACGCUUUUGCAAGGUGGAUAUCAUUACAUCAACAUUACAUAAUAGAUGGAGAUACAUACAUAAGGCAUACAAUGCCACAUGAAUACAACAUCACAAUACAUCAGAGCAUCAUCCGACUACGGAUGAAACACAAACAGAAACUCAAACGACAUCCACCCUGCUAGCCCAGGCUGCCGACCUGGAACCUAUCCCCUGAUCGAAGAAGAAGCAGAA
RNAcentral lists this long non-coding RNA (7852 nucleotides) under Triticum aestivum (bread wheat). RNAcentral describes it as "long non-coding RNA (TAES_LNC015980)". The record is from RNAcentral. Lineage: Eukaryota; Viridiplantae; Streptophyta; Magnoliopsida; Poales; Poaceae.